GGAGACAUAGUUCUGACCCUCAAUAUUCUGAGGAAUUAAUGAUGAAAAUAGUAGUAAUAUUUUCUUUGUAAUAACCUACGAGGAGGGCAGACCGGAGUAGUGGUAAAGAACUUCACUACAAGUGAAAUUGGCAAUUUGAAGAGCAUUUUAUAAUGCAAUAUUACUUCAGCUAGAAGCUUCUACUCUAAUGACUUAGCUAAUGCUCCUGCCUAUAGUUCCUCCAGCACAGAGUCCAGAUAAUAAGUAAUGUUCACUUUGUAAUCAAGGUUUGUGGGAUUCAGACCAGUUUUUUUGAACUUUGAAAAGCUCACAGAACUACUAGGAGUGGGUCUUCAGAAGCUGUCACCUUCAUUCCUGGUGCCCAUUUAU
RNAcentral lists this long non-coding RNA (369 nucleotides) under Canis lupus familiaris (dog). RNAcentral describes it as "lncRNA (ENSCAFG00000051701.1)". Lineage: Eukaryota; Metazoa; Chordata; Mammalia; Carnivora; Canidae. The record is from RNAcentral.